Molecule: small RNA, 2355 nt
Filed under: Rattus norvegicus (Norway rat)
Lineage: Eukaryota; Metazoa; Chordata; Mammalia; Rodentia; Muridae
Description: uncharacterized LOC102550111
Source: RNAcentral
UUUUUUUCCAAGCUGGAAGUACCAGCUCACAUCUAGAACGCAAGCCGAGACAGGAGGAUUGCCAAGAAUUAGAGAGGCCUUGCCUGGACUAGGUUGUGAGUUACUGGGUGAUUGGAUCUCAGAGUGAGACCCGACCCCUUACAGCUUGUACGGCCUCUCUAUCCUCGGCUUACUUCUGCACCCCUGUUUCUCCAGUGUCUCUGUGUGGGGUCUUCCCACCUAGGUCCCUUUUAGCCUGGCCUGGAAGUCUGCAGCCUAGGAGUGGCUGGAGAAAAGUUGGGGAUGCCGCCAAGAGGUCUGUUUGUAGUUCAGAUUCCUCUCAUUCCAGACUCAGCAGGCUCUCGAAAGGAAGGACUGGGAUUGGGAGGAGGAUCCUUGGUGCACCAGCUGUGGGGGGAAGAGGGGGGUUCAUUCUCUGCAGCUGACCCCCAACCACAAGUAAGAGGACCCUAGGACCUGCAUGUACUGACUGCAGCCCUUCGUUCCCCAGCAGCCUUCACUUCCAGGCCCCUCCCAACAUGGGGGCUGUAGUCAUGGCUGAAUUCCUUGCAUCUUUUCGAGUUCCUCUUUCUCCUGGGCACGGUAGGGAGAGCAUUUAGAUAGAGACUGAGUAAGGAGGAAUUGCCUGGAGAGUGUUGCUGGUUCAGCCUCAGCUUCAAAGAAGCCACCAGUCCCCCCCCCCCCCAACUGAAGUCUGCAAAGUUUUACUUUAACCCAGCAAUGGAUUUGUUAUUCUAUCCUGCAACCCCUAGACCAAAGAAUUUCUCAAGGGUUAUCUGGGGUGACCUUACCCUGGGGGAAGGCAACCUGAAACCCCCAAGCCUCCCUUCCCAGUGACUUCAGGGUUUAGAAAUCCCUGUACCUGCACCUCUCCCUGGGAAACACCCCUCUCAGGGUUUCUUCCUGACCCAGGCAGUGGAGGGAAAACAAACAUUGCCGGCAAGGGUUGGGUGUCCAUCAAAUGAAGUGACCACUUUGUCUGACCUUCUCAACCCUUUGAGGAAGAAGAUUAAUGUCGCCUUUUGUCACUGAGUGACCUAUGCCAGGAAGGACCACGUUGGCCAUUGAGUUUAGGCUCAGUUGUUGAGCUUCAGGAGUCUGAAGAGGGAGCCUGGGGGCAUUGAGGGACUUGGAGAGGCUGUGAAGACUCCAUUGGAGUUGCAGGGUAGUGAAGCUGGCAGUUACACGAUGAACCCUACAAAAAAUACUGGCGAGACGAAGAUGCUGCCUGGAAUCCAAGCAUCUGGGGCUGGAUCCUCCCAUCAUGUCCCCUGAGAAGGUCCAGCUGGAGAGACAAGCUAACAUGAACAUCCCCUCAUGUUAGGACUCACUGUUCUUUCUACUCCUGAUGCUAAGGUUGGGCCUCUUUGAGACUUUAUAUCCACCGUAGAGCCUGAGCUAGAGAGUGUCUAAAGCCUUUAGGGGGCUAAGGCUGUGAUGAGAGAAGACAGGGUGUAGGGGGUUGGGAGAAGUGACUGAGAAAGAGAGGGGAGAGAGGGUAAUAGCUUUGUGUUCCCACUGGAACGCAGCAUCCUCCAUAAUUCACACUGAACUUCAGCAUGAAGAAUCUACAAGGGGCUGGGGAUUUAGCUCAGUGGUAGAGUGCUUACCUAGGAAGCGCAAGGCCCUGGGUUCGGUCCCCAGCUCCGGAAAAAAAAGAACCAAAAAAAAAAGAAUCUACAAAACUAUUUUUGGUGCAUGUGUUACGUGGUGGGUAUGUGUGUAAGUGUCCGGAAGUGAGCCUUCUUCAAAUCAGUGUCUAUGCAGCAUGCAUGCACAAUAAAGCCAGAGGCGGACCAGCAGGGCAUUCCUCCAUAGCUCUCUACCCUCGUUUAUGUACUUAAAAAGUUUUAUGGGCUCAGCAGGCAAAUGCAUCUGCUGUCAAACAUCACAUCCUGAAUUCCAUCCCGAAGACCACAUGGAGGGAGAGACAAACUCCUGCAAGUUGUCCUCUGACCUACACAGGCUUGCUGCCUGCUGUGGUGUUACUUAGCAAUUUCCUCCUAGAGAAAACAUGCCACCCUGCAGGGAAGCCCUUCAAAACUAAGGAAGUAAACAACUCAAAAGCAUUAGGAAGUCCCUGAAACUGACCAGAUUCACUAGGCUCUUAUCUCUCCAAGGUUAUAUAAACGAUAAAGUCUUCUGAGAGAGACACUGAGAACAGAUGAGCUGUCUGGAGGAGACUCCAGCCGUCUAAGCUGCCUGCAAAAUUGUGCAGUGAGCACUAUGCUUCCAGGUUCUGUGCUCAUCAUCCAUGCUGGGAUAAGCUUUUGGUGAUGCAGCCAUCUUUGAGUGAUUUCUGCUACUCCACCCAUACUCCGCAUGUAGUCACAAUAAAACUCAUUGGCUUACCAA